AAAAAAAAAAAAAAAAAAUUCACAGUUGCAAGUAUUUUCUCAUCCAUUCCCUCUACAAUCAACAAAUCCAAUUGGACCCACAAAUAAAAGCAGUAUCAGAAACUCCAAAUUUUAAAUUGUGUUAAAAAAAUAUAAUAAUAAUAUCUUAUUCCUCCUGCCAUAUCGAGCUAAUUUGUCUGUAAAAAUAAAAUUUGUGGCUAAUUUGGCCCAAAUAGCUUAUUUUAUGGCUAAUUGAGCAUUAACAUAAUAUUCAAAGAUUAAUUUUGACCGUUAUUCCUAUAUUAAUUGAAGGCAGAUUGCAAGGGCAAAUCUUGUUCUGAAUUUGCAUCUCUUCAAAAUGUUCACUUAUUAUUUUAAAUGGUAACAUAUUUAGCCACAUUAAUUGAGAAAGUACUAUAAAAUAGGCAACUAUGAGUAGGCUGACUGACAUUAAAAAGGGCAACAAUCAUAACAGAUAUAAAAGAAAUUCUACCAUUCAAGUGCAAGAGAUGAACUUGAAAGUUGCCACCUUUCAAAUCCAUUUACAUUGAUAACUCAGCAUUCAGAUUUCAUUCCAUACAACCCAAGUGCCGCAUGGACAGAGUAAUAUGCAAAAUCCUCGCAUUAUUAUUCAUCACGAAACUAACUAGCAGAGAAUCCAAAUUACUGAUGGUCAACUAUCAUUCAGUUCAAAUCAUACCUUGCAUUGAAGACUUGUGAUCGUCGACUUCAGUAAAGCAUCUCCAACAAUCAAUCUCAACCUUUUGAUGAAAUCUCCCCUGCUUAUCUUCUUUGCCUGGAAUAGUUCAUAAUGAGUAUUUAUACAUUCCAUUUCCUUGCGAGGAACUUUAUUUGAGAUUGCAGAAAACAACAUGGGGAAAGGCAUCCAAGGGGAUCUAGGAGUUCUUGUGCUGCUUGAACCAAGACUUGAAGCUUUUCCGAGAGAUCCCCCAGAUUUUGGUUGGCCUUCACUUCCCAGACCAGUCGCAGGAGAUUCCAUUUGUAGAUUCAAAUCAACUUUAGGAGAUUCUAAAGGCGGGUUUAGACCAACAGUAGAAGACUCGAUUGGCAAAAUCCACUGAGCACCUUGUGAAAAUGUGAUGCGGGAAACAGCAUUUUUCAUCUCAUUUCCUGCAAAGUUCCCCGCUUCAACAUUGGAAGAGACCAUGAAACUAACAACAAAUUCUGGGUAAAUAUGGGAAUUCAUAUUCAUAUUCCACACUAUAUACUGGCUUGGAUUUUGAAGGUCAUCAACACCACUAUCAAAAUUCUCACUACUAGGAUG
RNAcentral lists this unclassified non-coding RNA (1264 nucleotides) under Hevea brasiliensis (rubber tree). The record is from RNAcentral. Lineage: Eukaryota; Viridiplantae; Streptophyta; Magnoliopsida; Malpighiales; Euphorbiaceae.